This 1023-nucleotide long non-coding RNA is filed under the name Heterocephalus glaber (naked mole-rat). RNAcentral's name for it is "lncRNA (ENSHGLG00100040146.1)". The record is from RNAcentral. Lineage: Eukaryota; Metazoa; Chordata; Mammalia; Rodentia; Bathyergidae.
GGGGGCACGAUCAUCCGGUGAACUAAAGCAAGUAGGCAUAGUUGGGUGUGGUGCAGAAGAGGGGCGGAGUGGUGCGCCACAGUGGCCCCGUGACAGAGGACUCGGUAAAGCUGUCCGGGAGCUUGAACUUUACCUUGAGGGCAAAGGGGAGCUGGGGAAGAGUUUAAGGGGAAGAAUGACACGGUCUGGUUGGCAGUUUGGAAAGAUGCCUCUGGCUGCUGGGUGCGGGUUUGGAAGGAGCAGAGACAAGAGAAGGGGCUGGAACGAGGAGCCAGUUUCAGCACAGAAAGUCUUGUGUCCUGAAAACCUCCUCAGUCUCCACAAAGCGGAAGAGGGCCCCAAGGAAGCAGAGAGCAGAUGGUGGUGGAGGAGGUGGGGCAAGACCAGAAGAGACAAUGACUUAUUCUUCUCUGUCCUGUGGACACUCACUGAGGGCCACUCUGCGUCUGGGACACCAGGGACUGGCCCAAGGUCACAGAGGGCCCUAGGCUGGGGAGAAGUCAAGGCUGACCCUGGGUCCCCAACUCCAGGUUCCACCACCACAAACAAGUCUAGGGGGGGGCCACCUGUACCCUCUGUGGACUCUUGCCCUCCCUGCCCCAUUCCCAGAGAAUCCUUAGACAUCGGAGCCCACCUUAGAGCUCUAGUAUUGUUUUUUAUAAAACUGGAAUCGACUUAUCCCAUAAGCUCAAACAAUACAAAGCAGCAUAAAGAACACUUCAAAACGUUGAAAUUUUACUUCUGGGGGUGAAGAACCACCCCUAAAAGAGGUGGCAGAGCUAAGUGCUCACCAGCACAGCCUCCCAGGCCCAAGUGCCUGGCGCCCAAGAUGGCGCGCACACCGGCACCCAGCAAGCUUUACACUUACUAUUUCCACAUUUUACAAUGUUUGUGAAGUAUAAUUCCCCAAAAGUGUUUUUGAAAUGCAAAGGAACAAUAAUAAACCCUAUAUAUAUUUUCAGUAAUAUCUAAUUAACGAGGUGUUUGUAAAGAUAAAAUGAGAAAAAGCUUGUGACUCUUAGC